UACGGAGGGGGCUAGCGUUGUUCGGAAUUACUGGGCGUAAAGGGCGCGUAGGUGGCGUCGUAAGUCAGGCGUGAAAGGCCCGGGCUCAACCCGGGAACUGCGCUUGAUACUGCGGCGCUCGAGUCCGGGAGAGGAUGGCGGAAUUCCCAGUGUAGAGGUGAAAUUCGUAGAUAUUGGGAAGAACACCGGUGGCGAAGGUGGCCAUCGGGACCGGUACUGACUGUAAGGCCCGAAAGCGUGGGGAGCAAACAGG
Molecule: ribosomal RNA, 253 nt
Filed under: uncultured bacterium
Lineage: Bacteria
Description: partial 16S ribosomal RNA
Rfam family: Bacterial small subunit ribosomal RNA
Source: RNAcentral